Molecule: long non-coding RNA, 312 nt
Filed under: Salvia miltiorrhiza (redroot sage)
Lineage: Eukaryota; Viridiplantae; Streptophyta; Magnoliopsida; Lamiales; Lamiaceae
Description: long non-coding RNA (SMIL_LNC013714)
Source: RNAcentral
GCCCAAUUACAAUAAAUACAACAAGGCCCAAAUAUAAAUAAAUAAUGAAGCCCAAAGAAAAUAAAAUAAAGGCCCAAAUUAAUAAAUAAUCCAGCCCAACUCAAGCCCACUGAAAAUAAAUAACAAAGCCCAAUAAAAUAAUAACUAGGAGGCCCAAAUCUUUCGGCCCAACUCAAUUAAAUGGGAGCCCAUCCACAAACUCAUUCUCGGUUCUCUCUUUUACCCUACAAAUUCACGCACACACACAAAUGAACGCACAUCUCUUUCUCUCCCUUUCAACUCAAUUCUCGUCUCUCACUCUCAAACUCUCAG